UCAGAGACUGGUUUCAGAGUACCACAGUCACCUAAAUUCCAAGGUGACCUUAGACAUAUACUAAACCACAGUCUUAUCUUAUGGUUUCCGAGAUUGGUGCUU
Sapajus apella (tufted capuchin) is the source of this 102-nucleotide long non-coding RNA. RefSeq lists it as uncharacterized. NCBI's taxonomy places the organism in Eukaryota, Metazoa, Chordata, Mammalia, Primates, Cebidae. The record is from RefSeq and is a predicted model, not a curated record. The transcript is spliced from 3 exons.